This 252-nucleotide ribosomal RNA is filed under the name uncultured bacterium. RNAcentral's name for it is "partial 16S ribosomal RNA". It matches the Rfam family "Bacterial small subunit ribosomal RNA", at positions 524 to 776 of the family's 1533-position model. The record is from RNAcentral.
UACGUAGGUCCCGAGCGUUGUCCGGAUUUAUUGGGCGUAAAGCGAGCGCAGGUGGUUUAUUAAGUCUGGUGUAAAAGGCAGUGGCUCAACCAUUGUAUGCAUCGGAAACUGGUAGACUUGAGUGCAGGAGAGGAGAGUGGAAUUCCAUGUGUAGCGGUGAAAUGCGUAGAUAUAUGGAGGAACACCGGUGGCGAAAGCGGCUCUCUGACCUGUAACUGACACUGAGGCUCGAAAGCGUGGGGAGCAAACAGG